RNAcentral lists this transfer RNA (74 nucleotides) under Flavobacteriales bacterium UBA4585. RNAcentral's name for it is "tRNA-Pro(ggg)". It matches the Rfam family "tRNA". Rfam says of the family: Transfer RNA (tRNA) molecules are approximately 80 nucleotides in length. Their secondary structure includes four short double-helical elements and three loops (D, anti-codon, and T loops). The record is from RNAcentral. Lineage: Bacteria; Pseudomonadati; Bacteroidota; Flavobacteriia; Flavobacteriales.
CGGGAUGUAGCUCAGGUGGUAGAGUGCACGUCUGGGGGGCGUGAGGUCGCAAGUUCAAGUCUUGUCAUCCCGAC